This 1012-nucleotide ribosomal RNA is filed under the name Enterococcus faecium. Its description in RNAcentral is "partial 23S ribosomal RNA". It matches the Rfam family "Bacterial large subunit ribosomal RNA", at positions 235 to 1251 of the family's 2925-position model. The record is from RNAcentral. Lineage: Bacteria; Bacillati; Bacillota; Bacilli; Lactobacillales; Enterococcaceae.
UUCCCUGAGUAGCGGCGAGCGAAACGGGAAAAGCCCAAACCAACAAGCUUGCUUGUUGGGGUUGUAGGACUCCAAUAUGGUCGUUCUUUCAGAUAGUCGAAUGACUUGGAAAAGUCAGUCAAAGAGGGUAAAAACCCCGUAGACGAAAUGUGGAAGACACCUAGGAGGAUCCUGAGUACGGCGGAACACGAGAAAUUCCGUCGGAAUCCGGGAGGACCAUCUCCCAAGGCUAAAUACUCCCUAGUGACCGAUAGUGAACCAGUACCGUGAGGGAAAGGUGAAAAGCACCCCGGAAGGGGAGUGAAAUAGAACCUGAAACCGUGUGCCUACAACAAGUCAAAGCCCGUUAAUGGGUGAUGGCGUGCCUUUUGUAGAAUGAACCGGCGAGUUACGAUUGCAUGCGAGGUUAAGUUGAAGAGACGGAGCCGCAGCGAAAGCGAGUCUGAAUAGGGCGUUUGAGUAUGUAGUCGUAGACCCGAAACCAUGUGAUCUACCCAUGUCCAGGUUGAAGGUGCGGUAAAACGCACUGGAGGACCGAACCCACGUACGUUGAAAAGUGCGGGGAUGAGGUGUGGGUAGCGGAGAAAUUCCAAACGAACUUGGAGAUAGCUGGUUCUCUCCGAAAUAGCUUUAGGGCUAGCCUCGGAAUUGAGAAUGAUGGAGGUAGAGCACUGUUUGGACUAGGGGCCCAUCUCGGGUUACCGAAUUCAGAUAAACUCCGAAUGCCAUUCAUUCAUAUCCGGGAGUCAGACUGUGAGUGAUAAGAUCCAUAGUCGAAAGGGAAACAGCCCAGACCACCAGCUAAGGUCCCAAAAUAUAUGUUAAGUGGAAAAGGAUGUGGGGUUGCACAGACAACUAGGAUGUUGGCUUAGAAGCAGCCACCAUUUAAAGAGUGCGUAAUAGCUCACUAGUCGAGUGACCCUGCGCCGAAAAUGUACCGGGGCUAAACAUAUUACCGAAGCUGUGGAGUACACCUUUAGGUGUAUUGGUAGGAGAGCGUUCUAAGGGCGUC